RNAcentral lists this ribosomal RNA (498 nucleotides) under uncultured bacterium. Its description in RNAcentral is "bacterial SSU rRNA". It matches the Rfam family "Bacterial small subunit ribosomal RNA", at positions 26 to 518 of the family's 1533-position model. The record is from RNAcentral.
AGAACGAACGCUGGCGGCGCGUUUAAGCAUGCAAGUCGAGCGGCAAGGGCCUUCGGGCCCCUAGAGCGGCGGACGGGUGAGUAACACGUGGACAAUCUGCCCCCCGCCGGGAUAGCCCAGGGAAACCUGGAUUAAUACCGGAUGAGACGGGACCCGCGAUGGCGGGAUCCGGGAAAGGCGCUGCGGCGCCGCCGGGGGAUGAGUCUGCGUCCCAUUAGCUAGACGCGGGGUAACGGCCACCGUGGCGACGAUGGGUAGCCGGCCUGAGAGGGUGGACGGCCACAUUGGAACUGAGACACGGUCCAGACUCCUACGGGAGGCAGCAGCUAAGAAUCUUCCGCAAUGGGCGAAAGCCUGACGGAAGCGACGCCGCGUGAACGAAGAAGGCCGUGAGGUUGUAAAGUUCUUUUCGGGAGGGGGAACAACCGUGGCAGGGAAUGGCCGCGGGAUGACGUGAAUCCCGGAAUAAGCCCCGGCUAACUACGUGCCAGCCGCCGC